Molecule: ribosomal RNA, 468 nt
Filed under: uncultured bacterium
Lineage: Bacteria
Description: partial 16S ribosomal RNA
Rfam family: Bacterial small subunit ribosomal RNA
Source: RNAcentral
GACGAACGCUGGCGGCGUGCUUAACACAUGCAAGUCGAACGGAAAGGCCCUGCUUUUGUGGGGUUCUCGAGUGGCGAACGGGUGAGUAACACGUGAGUAACCUGCCCUUGACUUUGGUAUAACUUCAGGAAACUGGGGCUAAUACCGGAUAGGAGCUCCUGCUGCAUGGUGGGGGUUGGAAAUUUUCGGCGGUUGGGGUUGGACUCGCGGCUUAUCAGCUUGUUGGUGGGGUAGUGGCUUACCAAGGCUUUGGCGGGUAGCCGGCCUGGGAGGGGGACCGGCCACAUUGGGACUGAGAUACGGCCCAGACGGCUACGGGAGGCAGCAGUGGGGAAUAUGGCACAAUGGGCGGAAGCCUGAUGCAGAAACGCCGCGUGCGGGAUGACGGCCUUCGGGUUGUAAACCGCUUUCGCCUGUGACGAAGCGUGAGUGACGGUAAUGGGUAAAGAAGCACCGGCUAACUACGUG